Molecule: ribosomal RNA, 458 nt
Filed under: uncultured bacterium
Lineage: Bacteria
Description: partial 16S ribosomal RNA
Rfam family: Bacterial small subunit ribosomal RNA
Source: RNAcentral
CCUACGGGUGGCAGCAGUGAGGAAUAUUGGUCAAUGGGCGAGAGCCUGAACCAGCCAAGUCGCGUGAGGGAGUACUGCCCUAUGGGUUGUAAACCUCUUUUGUCGGGGAGCAAAAGCCGGACGUGUCCGGCUGUGAGAGUUCCCGAAGGAAAAGCAUCGGUUAACUUCGUGCCAGCAGCCGCGGUAAUACGGAGGAUGCGAGCGUUAUCCGGAUUUAUUGGGUUUAAAGGGUGCGCAGGCGGAUUUUUAAGUCAGCGGUAAAAUCGUGGGGCUCAACCCCAUCCAGCCGUGGAAACUGGGGAUCUAGAGUGUGCGAGAGGUAUGCGGAAUGCGUGGUGUAGCGGUGAAAUGCAUAGAUAUCACGCAGAACCCCGAUUGCGAAGGCAGCAUGCCGGUGCACAACUGACGCUCAGGCACGAAAGCGUGGGUAUCGAACAGGAUUAGAUACCCCAGUAGUC